Sus scrofa (pig) is the source of this 1719-nucleotide long non-coding RNA. RefSeq lists it as uncharacterized. The record is from RefSeq and is a predicted model, not a curated record. NCBI's taxonomy places the organism in Eukaryota, Metazoa, Chordata, Mammalia, Artiodactyla, Suidae.
UUUUAUUUAACGCAAAACUGGAGUGUCCACAUGUGGGGCCCCGCGGCCGGGCCGGACCCAGUGCGGACGGGCUAGCUCGACCUGGCCCCUUGGAAGGCGAGGCCGAGCUGCACUAGGAGAACGAGUGAGCCCCUCCCCUAUCCCCUCUCCCGGAGUUUGGAACUGUCAAGCCCCAGCUCCGACCCUGUGUCCAGGUUCAAGACCCCUGCGGGGCCCACGCCGCGGGCCCAGCCUCGCUCAGGGGCCGAGCCGUGCCUGCCUGGCCCAUGAGGAUCUGCACUAGCAGAACCUAGGACCCUGUCCAGCAUCACCUGUAGAGCAAGUAGCUCUGGAAAUCAUCUGCCUUCUUGAGCAGGAGGGGCGCGCCGCUCCGGCCCGCGCUGCGCGCCCGCGGGGCCCGUGCAAACGCGCGCUCCCGGAAUCUGGCAGUAUGCGUCCGAGAGAGAGACGACUUGGGCCGCCGCUGGCGCAGCCGUGUCCCGAGGGGGCGGCCAGAAGGCCAGCGCCUUCAACAGUCCGAGGCGGUUUCCUUGAGAGGACGGAUCUCUACCGCGCGUCCAAAGCCCAGGGGCCAGUUACCCGUAUAGACAGCGAGGACCUCCCCACCCCACUCGCUGACUCUCAAGCCCCAGAGUCUGUAUUUUUUAUUUAUUUAAACUAACAAAGUUGAGAAACUGCAUUAGAACUUGGUAGGCACUUGUGAUGUGAUGCAGUAGCUGUUCCUAACAGUAAUAAAAACCAUCACUUGGAAAAAUUUUCCCAUCCCAUGACUGCAUCUGAUGGCCUGGUCCCUUCUGUUUUUAUGAAGAGGAUCAUGAAGCCUGGAGACCCUACUUAUGGAACCAGAACAGACCCUUGCCCCCAGCAGUUGUAGGCUGGAUUCUUUAUAACAUGCAAAAUUGUCAGAUAUAUAGUUACGAAGCCAAAGACAUUAAUUAGACUCUGGUAAAGAACUCAGACAGGUGUCAGAUCCCACCCUGCAUGUCCCUGCUGUGCCAGUUGCUUAUCUGGAUAGUGAGCUUUUAAUGCACUUUGCCUAAUGGGGUUGUGGUGAGAAGCCAGUUACUGCUAGUCAUUUAACAAAUAUUUCAGCACCUACUGUGUGCCCACGCACUGUUCUGGGAAUGGGGAGAUGGCAGAAUAAGCCAAUAUUCCUGCCCUCCUGGAGCAGUUACAAUGAUAGCUAUGUGGGCAGCCCCAUUCACUACCUGUCUCUCUCCUCAAACAAUUCUGUCCUGACCCUAGACUCCAGGAGGCUGCUAUAGUUCUCCACCACCCCUUCAUGACUCGACUCAUAAAAUGGACUCAGUGGCUUUUCCUUUUCUUUUUUUUAAAAUUUUAUUUAAAAAACCUUCGGUGCAAUAUUAAAAAGCAAUACAGCCAGCUGGAGCGACAACAAACAGAAAGGGGAAGGGUAGGAAAAACCCAGGGACCCCAUCCCAGUUGCCCCCAGGGGCUGGAGGCCAAGGACAGAAUGGGGAAGGGCCUGGGUGGUGGGGGAGGGAGGAAAGGCCACCCACCAAAAUGAACAGGCAGAAUAAAACAUUUUAUAUAGGAAACAUCUGGCUGAACUGAAGAGGAUCUAGGGGAGAUGCGAAACCCCCAUUUUUUUUCUUCUAAAAAUGUCCUUGACUUGGGGAGAGGCUGGCCUCCUGGGGUGAAAUGAACAGGCCCUGCCCCACCCCACACUCCUCUAUUAUGGAGUACAGGAUGUGCUGG